RNAcentral lists this ribosomal RNA (476 nucleotides) under uncultured bacterium. Its description in RNAcentral is "bacterial SSU rRNA". It matches the Rfam family "Bacterial small subunit ribosomal RNA", at positions 335 to 799 of the family's 1533-position model. The record is from RNAcentral.
ACUCCUACGGGAGGCAGCAGUGGGGAAUAUUGCACAAUGGGCGCAAGCCUGAUGCAGCCAUGCCGCGUGUAUGAAGAAGGCCUUCGGGUUGUAAAGUACUUUCAGCAGUGAGGAAGGCGGGUACGUUAAUAGCGUGCUCGUUUGACGUUAGCUGCAGAAGAAGCACCGGCUAACUCCGUGCCAGCAGCCGCGGUAAUACGGAGGGUGCGAGCGUUAAUCGGAAUUACUGGGCGUAAAGCGCAUGCAGGUGGUUUGUUAAGUCAGAUGUGAAAGCCCGGGGCUCAACCUCGGAAUUGCAUUUGAAACUGGCAGACUAGAGUACUGUAGAGGGGGGUAGAAUUUCAGGUGUAGCGGUGAAAUGCGUAGAGAUCUGAAGGAAUACCGGUGGCGAAGGCGGCCCCCCUGGACAGAUACUGACACUCAGAUGCGAAAAGCGUGGGGAGCAAAACAGGAUUAGAUACCCUGGUAGGAUAGCG